This 261-nucleotide ribosomal RNA is filed under the name uncultured archaeon. RNAcentral's name for it is "partial 16S ribosomal RNA". It matches the Rfam family "Archaeal small subunit ribosomal RNA", at positions 748 to 1008 of the family's 1478-position model. The record is from RNAcentral.
CAGCCCUAAACGAUACUCGCUAGGUGUCGGCCACGGUGCGACCGUUGUCGGUGCCGUAGGGAAGCCGUGAAGCGAGCCACCUGGGAAGUACGGCCGCAAGGCUGAAACUUAAAGGAAUUGGCGGGGGAGCACCACAACGGGUGGAGCUUGCGGUUUAAUUGGAUUCAACGCCGGAAAUCUUACCGGGACCGACAGCAACAUGAAGGCCAGGCUGAAGACUUUGCCGGAUUAGCUGAGAGGAGGUGCAUGGCGUGUGACUGU